AACGCACAUUGCGCCCCCUGGUAUUCCGGGGGGCAUGCCUGUCCGAGCGUCAUUGCACCCCUCAAGCCCGGCUUGUCCUUGGGUUAUGUCCCUCCGUUCCGGGGGGACAGGCCUCAAAUGCAAUGGCGGCACCGCGUCCGGUCCUCGAGCGUAUGGGGCUUUGUCACCCGCUUUGUAGGCCGGCCGGUCGCUUGCCCUUCAAGCACAACUUCUUAUGUUGACCUCGGAUCAGGUAGGGAUACCCGCUGAACUUAA
This 255-nucleotide unclassified non-coding RNA is filed under the name uncultured Eurotiales. RNAcentral's name for it is "sequence contains 5.8S rRNA gene, ITS2, 28S rRNA gene". The stretch from base 1 to 52 matches the Rfam family "5.8S ribosomal RNA", at positions 103 to 154 of the family's 154-position model. The record is from RNAcentral. Lineage: Eukaryota; Fungi; Ascomycota; Eurotiomycetes; Eurotiales.